GGGGACGACUGGUUUUGACAGCAAGAUCAAUUGAUCUGUAAGCAUGCCGAGCAAUGAAAUAGCACUCGUAAAAAUCAAUUUCAAACCAUAAACGGCGAAAAUAAUUACGCUUUAGCUGCUUAAUAACUGAAUUAUAGUAAGUUCAAGCCCUGGCGCACAAGGUGCGCAAGCUAAAUGUCUCUUGAAAGCCUUGGUUAACGGCGGUCAGUUUAGAGGCAUCGUAAAAGUUAACAUAGAAAUGUGGAAGUUUCGGCAACAUUUCGAAAAUUAAGAAACUAAGCUCAAUGUAGGCGGUUUUUGGCCGGCUUUGAGUCGAAAACUAAUCAAAAACUAAGCAUGUAGAAAGCAUUUUGGUUGCUUGUUUGGACGAGGGUUCGAGUCCCUCCGUCUCCACUU
RNAcentral lists this transfer-messenger RNA (396 nucleotides) under Flavobacteriaceae bacterium. It matches the Rfam family "transfer-messenger RNA". Rfam says of the family: Bacterial tmRNA, also known as 10Sa RNA or SsrA, is named for its dual tRNA and mRNA-like properties. Lineage: Bacteria; Pseudomonadati; Bacteroidota; Flavobacteriia; Flavobacteriales; Flavobacteriaceae. The record is from RNAcentral.